GCGUGUGUGAAGAAGGCCUUAGGGUUGUAAAGCACUUUCGCCCGCGAAGAUGAUGACGGUAGCGGGAGAAGAAGCCCCGGCUAACUCCGUGCCAGCAGCCGCGGUAAUACGGAGGGGGCUAGCGUUGUUCGGAAUUACUGGGCGUAAAGCGCACGUAGGCGGCUUGAAUAGUUAGGCGUGAAAGGCCUGGGCUUAACCUGGGAACUGCGCUUAAUACUGGCGAGCUUGAGUCCGGAAGGGGGUGGCGGAAUUCCCAGUGUAGAGGUGAAAUUCGU
This 275-nucleotide ribosomal RNA is filed under the name uncultured bacterium. Its description in RNAcentral is "partial 16S ribosomal RNA". It matches the Rfam family "Bacterial small subunit ribosomal RNA", at positions 399 to 691 of the family's 1533-position model. The record is from RNAcentral.